This is an RNA transcript of Dicentrarchus labrax (European seabass), 2788 nucleotides long. It is a transcript of the gene named peroxisomal biogenesis factor 7, with no coding region annotated. NCBI's taxonomy places the organism in Eukaryota, Metazoa, Chordata, Actinopteri, Moronidae. The record is from RefSeq and is a predicted model, not a curated record. The transcript has 13 exons.
CCCACCGGCCUUCAUCCGGGUCGUUGGGUCAGCUGAUCACAACACGGAAGUGGUUGUAGUGGUGAGGCUGUCAGCAGCUGGAGUCUCUUUUACCGGAUUUAUCGAUCGAUUGAUUGAAUGAUCGGUUUACGGUGAACUGAUCGAUACAACGGGAGGUUAACGGCUGAGACUGGUUGUCUGUCACUUUCAUAUUCAUUAACAUUAAAGGUGACACUGGAUCUGACUUCCUCGUGUCCUCCAGCAGGGGGCGCAGCGGGGCUGCAGGCCGACCAUGGUGAAGGUGUUUCGCUGUGCGGCCCGUCACGGCUACGCUGUGGAAGUGUCUCCGUUCAUCCCCAACAGGGUGGCCUGCACCGCCUCCCAGUACUACGGCAUAGCUGGCUGUGGCACUCUGCUGGUCCUGGAUCAGACUGAGACUGGAGUCACUCUGGUGAGGAGCUGGGAGUGGAGUGACGGUCUGUUCGAUGUAGCGUGGAGCGAAUCCAACGAGCAUCUCAUGGUCGCCGGGGGCGGGGACGGCAGCUUGCAGCUGUGGGACACAGCCAAUCACAGCGCUCCGCUGAGAGUGGCCAAAGAACACACACAGGAGGUGUACUCUGUGGACUGGAGUCAGACCAGAGGAGAGAACCUCAUCGUCUCUGGAUCGUGGGAUCAGAGCUCUAAAGUGUGGGACCCCGCUCUCAGCCGCUCUCUGACCACACUCAGGGGUCAUGAAGGGGUCGUCUACAGCACCAUUUGGUCCCCUCACAUCCCAGGAUGCUUUGCUUCAGCGUCAGGUGACGGGACGCUCAGGAUUUGGGAUGUGAAGAGCGCAGCGUGUCGAUUGGCCGUCCCAGCGCACAAGGCUGAAGUCCUCAGCUGUGAUUGGUGCAAAUAUGACCAGAACAUCGUGGCCACAGGAUCAGUCGACUGCAGCGUGUGUGUGUGGGACCUGAGGAACGUCAGACAGCCUGUCAAUCAACUGCAAGGCCACACCUACGCCAUCCGCAGAGUCAAGUUUUCUCCGUUCAGUAAGACUCUGUUGGCGUCCUGCUCGUACGACUUCACUGUCAGGUUCUGGGAUUACAGUAGGACCCAGCCUCUUCUGGACACUGUGGAGCAUCACUCAGAGUUUGUCUGCGGACUCGACUUCAACCUGCAUGUCCCCAACCAGACGCCGUGUGGACCCUCAACCCCCCCAGAGGAGAAAAUCCAGAGCACAGAGGGGAAAGUGACAACCAGCAGAGUUCAGCUAUAUAUCACUGGAUACAUGCGUGGGAAACAGUGACAGAAAGCAUCCGGGGUCGACGCUGCGAUUGGGAAAUGAGUGUUGAAUUUACAGAAGGAAACUGAGGUCAUCACUCAUACGUUACAGCCUCAUUUUGAAACAUCUGGUGGUGGACUGUUCCUGGGACGAGACGGUGAAGAUCUACACUCCUGCCUGUCUGUCUGCUGGAACGCACGGCGCAGCGUCGUAGAAGAAGGGCUUCCCCGAACCCACUGCUUCCCAAACUGUUUCUGUCGGUUCCCUUUUUGUGGAUAAAGUUAUUUCUCAGAGCAUAAAAAACAUUUACUUAACUCACUUUUUGCUAAAUAAUAUUUCCAUUCCCUGGAGACUUAUCCGAACCACAGACCCAAAUAUCUUUUUCCAGAUGGGAGAAAUUGUUUCCAUCCCCAAUUAAAGCUGCAGUAGGUGACACUGAUAAAAAUAUAUUUGUCAUAUUUGCUGAAAUUUUCACUACAUCCUGACAGUCGAACAUGAGACAGAUAUUCUGUGAAAAUAUCAGGUUCCUCUGGUUCCUCUGGUUCCUCCUGAUGGGAUUAUCUGGGAAUGAGACUCAACAGUCAACUGUCCUUACAAUAUUUUUAUAACCUACUGCAGCUUUAACCCCCGAUCUUUGGUCUGAAAUGUAUCCCCGAAGACAGACCUAACCCUGACCAGGUCGCAUUAGGACUGGGUCUUUAGCCCCCGACCUGUCCCCACAAGGUCAGAGUGUAUACUGCGACAGGUCCCCAAUAAGUAACAAAAACACGUUCACACGCACACAUAUUUUUUGAAUUUCCAUCAUUAUUUGAAACAUUUUGAUUGAAUAUGAAGUUUCAGGGAGAAAGAGCAUUAAGUGUCACAUCACACAGCUGAUCAGGGCUGGGCAAUUGAGCGGGCAGUGGGGCAAGAGCCACCCCAUUAUCCCUGUCCUAAGGUUAGAGAGAACAUACUGCUUUCAUAUGAAACCAGAUCUAACAAAUCCAUCAGUACCAACCAUGCCAUGCUAGCAUGUCGGCAACGCGCCAAAGUUAGCCUAGAGUGUGGCGACGGAAAAAGUGGUAUGGCCAUUUUCAAAGAGAGGAAAGAAAGAAAUUUAAAAAAGGGUUUUUUCUUUCUUUCUAUGAAACAUCAGAUGUGUUUAUGUGUGUUCUGAAGUCUGAACCCUGGAAUCAACAGUUCACCUCCUCGUUAUAAAUACUGACUCUUAUCAGCAGCAGCUCUGGGAACCUUCCACCUGUUUAAUGAGAACUCUCUCACACUCACAGAGGAGAUCCAAUCAAUGAUCUUUCAUUUACUCUGAAGACAACAAGUACAUUGUGUCAGCUCCUGUAACAGCAUGAAAUAAAGUCUCUGCUUAGUGUUGUGUUCACUUUACUGUGAAUGAUACAGUGAUGUUUAUAAAUCUAUUACGUCCUAUAAUGAUCUAUAAUAUCUUUAAUGUCUGCGUCUGUUCUUUCGUUUAUUCUGUUUAAGACUAAAUGUCAGCUGUGAGUGAUGUGAAAUGUCAGUGCCUUUAAUAAAGAUCAAUAUCAGCAACAGAAA